Molecule: ribosomal RNA, 1332 nt
Filed under: uncultured bacterium
Lineage: Bacteria
Description: bacterial SSU rRNA
Rfam family: Bacterial small subunit ribosomal RNA
Source: RNAcentral
GAUGAACGCUGGCGGCGCGCCUAACACAUUGCAAGUUCAACGGCACCUGCCCCUCGGGCAGAAGCGAGUUGGCGAACGGCUGAGUAACACGUGGAGAAACCUGCCCCCUCCCCCGGGAUAGCCGCCCGAAAGGACGGGUAAUACCGGAUACCCCGGGGUGCCGCAUGGCACCCCGGCUAAAGCCCCGACGGGAGGGGAUGGCUCCGCGGCCCAUCAGGUAGACGGCGGGGUGACGGCCCACCGUGCCGACAACGGGUAGCCGGGUUGAGAGACCGACCGGCCAGAUUGGGACUGAGACACGGCCCAGACUCCUACGGGAGGCAGCAGUGGGGAAUCUUGCGCAAUGGGGGGAACCCUGACGCAGCGACGCCGCGUGCGGGAGGGAGGCCUUCGGGUCCUAAACCGCUUUCAGCAGGGAAGAGUCAAGACUGUACCUGCAGAAGAAGCCCCGGCUAACUACGUGCCAGCAGCCGCGGUAAUACGUAGGGGGCGAGCGUUAUCCGGAUUCAUUGGGCGUAAAGCGCGCGUAGGCGGCCCGGCAGGCCGGGGGUCGGAGGCGGGGGGCUCAACCCCCCGAAGCCCCCGGAACCUCCGCGGCUUGGGUCCGGUAGGGGAGGGUGGAACACCCGGUGUAGCGGUGGAAUGCGCAGAUAUCGGGUGGAACACCGGUGGCGAAGGCGGCCCUCUGGGCCGAGACCGACGCUGAGGCGCGAAAGCUGGGGGAGCGAACAGGAUUAGAUACCCUGGUAGUCCCAGCCGUAAACGAUGGACGCUAGGUGUGGGGGGACGAUCCCCCCGUGCCGCAGCCAACGCAUUAAGCGUCCCGCCUGGGGAGUACGGCCGCAAGGCUAAAACUCAAAGGAAUUGACGGGGGCCCGCACAAGCAGCGGAGCAUGUGGCUUAAUUCGAAGCAACGCGAAGAACCUUACCAGGGCUUGACAUAUGGGUGAAGCGGGGGAGACCCCGUGGCCGAGAGGAGCCCAUACAGGUGGUGCAUGGCUGUCGUCAGCUCGUGUCGUGAGAUGUUGGGUUAAGUCCCGCAACGAGCGCAACCCCCGCCGCGUGUUGCCAUCGGGUGAUGCCGGGAACCCACGCGGGACCGCCGCCGUCAAGGCGGAGGAGGGCGGGGACGACGUCAAGUCAUCAUGCCCCUUAUGCCCUGGGCUGCACACGUGCUACAAUGGCCGGUACAGAGGGAUGCCACCCCGCGAGGGGGAGCGGAUCCCGGAAAGCCGGCCCCAGUUCGGAUUGGGGGCUGCAACCCGCCCCCAUGAAGUCGGAGUUGCUAGUAAUCGCGGAUCAGCAUGCCGCGGUGAAUGCGUUCCCGGGCCU